GGGGACUCCCGCGCAGCUCUGCCGCGGUUGGAUAGAACCCUUGCCACUUUUCGAGUACCUUUCGUUUCCUCGGCGGGCUCGCCCGCCACUGGGGACACACCAAAAACCUUUUGCAAUUGCAGUAAAUCGUCUGAUAAACAAAGCAAAUCUAUUAAAACUUUCAACAACGGAUCUCUUGGUUCUGGCAUCGAUGAAGAACGCAGCGAAAUGCGAUAAGUAGUGUGAAUUGCAGAAUUCAGUGAAUCAUCGAAUCUUUGAACGCACAUUGCGCCCUUUGGUAUUCCUUAGGGCAUGCCUGUUCGAGCGUCAUUUCCACCUUCAAGCUUAGCUUGGUGUUGGGUGAUUGUCCCGCCGCUCGCGCGCGGACUCGCCUCAAAAGCAUUGGCAGCCGGUACGUUGGCUUCGAGCGCAGCAGAUUAGCGUCUCGUGCCUGGCGGAUCGGUUCUCCAACAAGCCAAACCCCCCCAAUUUUGACCUCGGAUCAGGUAGGGAUACCCGCUGAACUUAAGCAUAUCAAUAAGGCGGAGGAAUUUCAAGGGCGGCUCUGCCGCGGUUGGAAUUAGAACCUUGCUACUUUUGAGUCCUUUCGUUCCCCGGCGGGCUCCCCACUGGAGACCACCAAAAACUUUUGCAUUGCAGUAAAUGUCGAUAAACAAAGCAAUCUAUUAAAACUUUCACACGAUCUUGGGUUCUGGCAUCAUGAGAAGCAGCAAAUGCAUAAGUAGUGUGAAAUUGCAAAAUUCAUGAAUCAUCCAUCUUUGAACGCACAUCUGCGCUUGUGGGUUAUUCUUAGGGCAUGCUGUUCAGCGUCUCUCUCAUACCCUCUUGUUGUUGGGUGAUUGGGCCCCGCGCACCACUCGGCGCCGUCGUUGCCUUCAGCCAGAAAUAAAUUCUCCUGCUGGGGGGAUGCUUUCUCACAAGCCCAUACCCCCCCGUGUUUGUUCUCGUGUGGCGGCGAUGCACCCUCACAUCUAUAUUA
This 979-nucleotide ribosomal RNA is filed under the name Monodictys sp. 148. RNAcentral describes it as "eukaryotic LSU rRNA". The stretch from base 156 to 309 matches the Rfam family "5.8S ribosomal RNA". Lineage: Eukaryota; Fungi; Ascomycota; Dothideomycetes; Pleosporales. The record is from RNAcentral.